Molecule: ribosomal RNA, 490 nt
Filed under: uncultured bacterium
Lineage: Bacteria
Description: partial 16S ribosomal RNA
Rfam family: Bacterial small subunit ribosomal RNA
Source: RNAcentral
AUUGAACGCUGGCGGCAGGCUUAACACAUGCAAGUCGAGCGGUAGCACAGGGGAGCUUGCUCCCUGGGUGACGAGCGGCGGACGGGUGAGUAAUGUCUGGGAAACUGCCUGAUGGAGGGGGAUAACUACUGGAAACGGUAGCUAAUACCGCAUAACGUCGCAAGACCAAAGAGGGGGACCUUCGGGCCUCUUGCCAUCAGAUGUGCCCAGAUGGGAUUAGCUAGUAGGUGGGGUAAUGGCUCACCUAGGCGACGAUCCCUAGCUGGUCUGAGAGGAUGACCAGCCACACUGGAACUGAGACACGGUCCAGACUCCUACGGGAGGCAGCAGUGGGUAAUAUUGCACAAUGGGCGCAAGCCUGAUGCAGCCAUGCCGCGUGUGUGAAGAAGGCCUUCGGGUUGUAAAGCACUUUCAGCGAGGAGGAAGGUGGUGAGCUUAAUACGCUCAUCAAUUGACGUUACUCGCAGAAGAAGCACCGGCUAACUCCGUG